GAUGAACGCUGGCGGCGUGCCUAAUACAUGCAAGUCGAACGAAACUUCUUUAUCACCGAGUGCUUGCACUGACCGAAACAGGGUUGAGUGGCGAACGGGUGAGUAACACGUGGGCAAGCUGCCCAAAAGAGGGGGAUAACACUUGGAAACAGGUGCUAAUGCCGCAUAACCAUAGUUACCACAUGGUAACUAUGUGGAAGGGGGCUAUACUACCUCUGUUGGAUGGUGCCGCGGCGCAUUAGCAAGGUUGUAGGGUAAAGGCUUUCUAAGUGAGUGAUGGGCUGCCGAAGUGUGAGGUGGAUCGGCCACAUUGGAGCGUAGCCACGGCCCAUACUCCUGCGGGACGCAGCAGUAGGCAAUCUUCCACAACGGGCGAAAGCCUUAUGGAGCAACGCCGCGUGGGUGAAGAAGGUCUUCGGAUCGUAAAACCCUGUUGUUAGUGAAGAAAGUGCGUGAGAGUAACUGUUCACGUUUCGACGGUAUCUAACCAGAAAGCCCCGGCUAACUACGUG
This 512-nucleotide ribosomal RNA is filed under the name uncultured bacterium. Its description in RNAcentral is "partial 16S ribosomal RNA". It matches the Rfam family "Bacterial small subunit ribosomal RNA", at positions 28 to 507 of the family's 1533-position model. The record is from RNAcentral.